This 642-nucleotide ribosomal RNA is filed under the name Goniaceritae gen. A sp. 2 JS-2020. RNAcentral's name for it is "partial large subunit ribosomal RNA". It matches the Rfam family "Eukaryotic large subunit ribosomal RNA", at positions 668 to 1206 of the family's 3401-position model. Lineage: Eukaryota; Metazoa; Arthropoda; Insecta; Coleoptera; Staphylinidae. The record is from RNAcentral.
AAGGAGUCUAGUAAAUGAGCGAGUCUAAGGUAUCUUCCGAAUACCGCAGGCGAUGUGAAGGCAUUUGUCCGCAAGACCAGUCUUACGGGCGCGUGCCAACUUCAUAGCGAUGAUGGGGGCCCAAACAGCCUUCCGCAAUCGCGAGGUGGUCUCAUUCCCGUUCUCGAGAAGAGCCAUCCUUUUAGCUCACGUGCUAGUACCCGAAAGAUGGUGAACUAUGCUUGACGAGAGCUGAGUUAGGGGAAACCCUGAUGUAAGCUCGUCAUCGAUUCUGACGUGCAAAUCGAUCGUCUGAGUUACGUAUAGGGGCGAAAGACCAAUCGAACCAUCUAGUAGCUGGUUCCUUCCGAAGUUUCCCUCAGGAUAGCUCGUGUCGCUUUAGCUAGUAACAUGUGGUAAAGCUAAUGACUAGAGGUAUUGGGACCGAAACGGCCUCAACCUAUUCUCAAACUUUCAAUGUGUGUGAGAUCAAACGGCUUACGGUGACACUCGGUCAAACGAGUCUACGAAGCCGUGCGAACUCGAGGUGCUCGACGCCUCGCUAUAAUAACGCGGCACGCAGUGGGCCGAUUUUGGUAAGCAGAAACGGCGAUGUGGGAUGAACCAAAUACAAAGCUAAAGCGUCAAAGUCAACGCUCAUGG